UUCGGGCUCUUUACAAGGUGCUGCAUGGUUGUCGUCAGCUCGUGCCGUGAGGUGUCGGGUUAAGUCCCAUAACGGGCGCAACCCUUAUCGUUAGUUGCCAGCGGGUCAUGCCGGGAACUCUAACGAAACUGCCGGUGUAAACCGUGAGGAAGGUGGGGAUGACGUCAAAUCAGCACGGCCCUUAUGUCCAGGGCUACACACGUGUUACAAUGGCCGGUACAGAGGGCAGCUACCUGGAGACAGGAUGCGAAUCUCCAAAGCCGGUCUCAGUUCGGAUCGGAGUCUGCAACUCGACUCCGUGAAGCUGGAUUCGCUAGUAAUCGCGCAUCAGCCAUGGCGCGGUGAAUACGUUCCCGGGCCUU
RNAcentral lists this ribosomal RNA (362 nucleotides) under uncultured Sphingobacteriales bacterium. RNAcentral's name for it is "bacterial SSU rRNA". It matches the Rfam family "Bacterial small subunit ribosomal RNA", at positions 1021 to 1382 of the family's 1533-position model. The record is from RNAcentral. Lineage: Bacteria; Pseudomonadati; Bacteroidota; Sphingobacteriia; Sphingobacteriales.